Molecule: ribosomal RNA, 405 nt
Filed under: uncultured bacterium
Lineage: Bacteria
Description: partial 16S ribosomal RNA
Rfam family: Bacterial small subunit ribosomal RNA
Source: RNAcentral
GACGAACGCUGGCGGCGUGCUUAACACAUGCAAGUCGAGCGGAGCGGCGAACGGGUGAGUAACGCGUGAGUAACUGCCCCCCUCUCUGGGAUAACAGUUGGAAACGGCUGCUAAUACCGGAUAGUGGGGGAUGAUUCGCGUCCUAUCAGCUUGUUGGUGGGGUAGUGGCCGACCAAGGGGACGAGUGGUCGCCGGCCUGAGAGGGGGACCGGCCACAUGGGGCUGAGAGACGUCCCAAACGGCUACGGGAGGCAGCAGUGGGGAAUAGUGCACAAUGGGGUAAACCCUGAUGCGGCAACGCCGCGUGCGGGAUGACGGCCUUCGGGUUGUAAACCGCUUGCAGCCAUGACGCGGUAGUGGCAGAAGAAGCACCGGCUAACUACGUGCCAGCAGCCGCGGUAAUUC